Molecule: ribosomal RNA, 301 nt
Filed under: uncultured bacterium
Lineage: Bacteria
Description: partial 16S ribosomal RNA
Rfam family: Bacterial small subunit ribosomal RNA
Source: RNAcentral
CAGCAGCCACGGUAAUACGGAGGGCGCGAGCGUUACCCGGAUUUACUGGGCGUAAAGGGCGUGUAGGCGGCCUGGGGCGUCCCAUGUGAAAGGCCACCGCUCAACCGUGGAGGAGCGUGGGAUACGCUCAGGCUAGAGGGUGGGAGAGGGUGGUGGAAUUCCCGGAGUAGCGGUGAAAUGCGCAGAUACCGGGAGGAACGCCGAUGGCGAAGGCAGCCACCUGGUCCACUUCUGACGCUGAGGCGCGAAAGCGUGGGGAGCAAACCGGAUUAGAUACCCGCGUAGUCCCUGUCUCUUAUAC